RNAcentral lists this long non-coding RNA (311 nucleotides) under Sinocyclocheilus grahami. RNAcentral describes it as "lncRNA (ENSSGRG00000014558.1)". Lineage: Eukaryota; Metazoa; Chordata; Actinopteri; Cypriniformes; Cyprinidae. The record is from RNAcentral.
CACUGACACGCGCCUAACAUUCUUUCAUUGAUAAUCCGUCGAGCGAGCAGCGCGUCAAUAGCGCACUAAUCAAACGAAAAUGAUGUAAAACGGACGCACACGUACCAGUCUAUGGCUUCAAUGCUGAGCUUUGCUCAGUGUUGCUGAGGCUGAUCUUUACUGUGAAUCAGCUGUGGAUUGGGGUUGACUGUCAGAUUUCCAUUUUUGAGGCUCCUCUGGGCUAUUUGGAUCGGGAAGCCUUGGAGGGGACAAUACCAGGCUUUCAGGGGGGAACCAAACUGAGUUUGGGAUAUAUUGACUUUGAAUUUUCA